UGGGGAAUUUUGGACAAUGGGGGCAACCCUGAUCCAGCAAUGCCGCGUGUGUGAAGAAGGCCUUCGGGUUGUAAAGCACUUUUGUCCGGAAAGAAAACGCCGUGGUUAAUACCCGUGGCGGAUGACGGUACCGGAAGAAUAAGCACCGGCUAACUACGUGCCAGCAGCCGCGGUAAUACGUAGGGUGCAAGCGUUAAUCGGAAUUACUGGGCGUAAAGCGUGCGCAGGCGGUCCGCUAAGACAGAUGUGAAAUCCCCGGGCUUAACCUGGGAACUGCAUUUGUGACUGGCGGGCUAGAGUAUGGCAGAGGGGGGUAGAAUUCCACGUGUAGCAGUGAAAUGCGUAGAGAUGUGGAGGAAUACCGAUGGCGAAGGCAGCCCCCUGGGCCAAUACUGACGCUCAUGCACGAAAGCGUGGGGAGCAAACAGGAUUAGAUACCCUGGUAGUCCACGCCCUAAACGAUG
RNAcentral lists this ribosomal RNA (464 nucleotides) under uncultured bacterium. RNAcentral describes it as "partial 16S ribosomal RNA". It matches the Rfam family "Bacterial small subunit ribosomal RNA", at positions 355 to 811 of the family's 1533-position model. The record is from RNAcentral.